AUUGAACGCUGGCGGCAUGCCUUACACAUGCUAGUCGAACGGCAGCACGGGUGCUUGCACCUGGUGGCGAGUGGCGAACGGGUGAGUAAUAUAUCGGAACGUACCUUAUUGUGGGGGAUAACGCAGCGAAAGCUGUGCUAAUACCGCAUAAUCCCUUAGGGGGAAAGCGGGGGACCGUAAGGCCUCGCGCAAUUAGAGCGGCCGAUACCUGAUUAGCUAGUUGGUGAGGUAAAGGCUCACCAAGGCGACGAUCAGUAGCUGGUCUGAGAGGACGAUCAGCCACACUGGGACUGAGAAACGGCCCAGACUCCUACGGGAGGCAGCAGUGGGGAAUUUUGGACAAUGGGGGCAACCCUGAUCCAGCAAUGCCGCGUGAGUGAAGAAGGCCUUCGGGUUGUAAAGCUCUUUUGUCAGGGAAGAAACAGCAGCUCUAACACAGUAUGCGAAUGACGAUACCUGAAGAAUAAGCACCGGUUAACUACGUGCCAGCAGCCGCCGUAA
Molecule: ribosomal RNA, 501 nt
Filed under: uncultured bacterium
Lineage: Bacteria
Description: partial 16S ribosomal RNA
Rfam family: Bacterial small subunit ribosomal RNA
Source: RNAcentral